Molecule: ribosomal RNA, 253 nt
Filed under: uncultured prokaryote
Description: partial 16S ribosomal RNA
Rfam family: Bacterial small subunit ribosomal RNA
Source: RNAcentral
UACGAACUGUGCGAACGUUAUUCGGAAUCACUGGGCUUAAAGGGUGCGUAGGCGGUUCUCUAAGUCAGGUGUGAAAUCUCUCGGCUCAACCGGGAAACUGCGCCUGAUACUGGAGGACUGGAGUGAGGCAGGGGUGUGUGGAACUUCCGGUGGAGCGGUGAAAUGUGUAGAUAUCGGGAGGAACACCUGAGGCGAAGGCGGGCUACUGGGCCGAUACUGACGCUGAUGCGCGAAAGCCAGGGGAGCGAACGGG